This 396-nucleotide ribosomal RNA is filed under the name uncultured Polaribacter sp. RNAcentral describes it as "bacterial SSU rRNA". It matches the Rfam family "Bacterial small subunit ribosomal RNA", at positions 100 to 496 of the family's 1533-position model. Lineage: Bacteria; Pseudomonadati; Bacteroidota; Flavobacteriia; Flavobacteriales; Flavobacteriaceae. The record is from RNAcentral.
GCACGGGUGCGUAACGCGUAUAGAAUCUACCUUGUACUAGGGGAUAGCCUUUGGAAACGAAGAUUAAUACCCUAUAGUAAGUAUUUAUGGCAUCAUUUAUACUUUAAAGGUUACGGUACAAGAUGACUAUGCGUCCUAUUAGUUUGUUGGUGAGGUAACGGCUCACCAAGACUUCGAUAGGUAGGGGCCCUGAGAGGGGGAUCCCCCACACUGGUACUGAGACACGGACCAGACUCCUACGGGAGGCAGCAGUGAGGAAUAUUGGACAAUGGAGGAGACUCUGAUCCAGCCAUGCCGCGUGUAGGAAGAAUGCCCUAUGGGUUGUAAACUACUUUUAUACAGGAAGAAACACUGGUAUGUAUACCAGCUUGACGGUACUGUAAGAAUAAGGACCGG